CAGAGAAGCAAGAACCUCACGUUAAUUUCUGAGACUGGCUGAAGCUAAAGCUCCAUUUAAAUUUCUCUGCUCUUUCAGCUGCAAGUGGAAUUUUCAUUGUAAAAUGGGCACUUUGAAUUCUUUGAAGGUAUUGAAACAUCUAACACUUCCAAGGUUACCACUUUCUAAACAAAGAACUGACAGCUCAUUCAUAUUUUCAGUAAAGCAGAGAAAUGUAAAAUAUGCAGCAAGGGGGCAAGUUUACAAUGUGGUUAGUAACUCCCAACAAAUGACAAAAAAUAAAAAAUGACUUCUAUAAAUCAUCUGAAAUGACUGCCAUCAUGUUGGAAAAGAGCAUAGCGCCCUUCUUGUCUUUGAAAUAAGAAGUUGUUUUUGGCUUACAAAUGUUCAUUGUAUAGAAUUGGUUCACAGAAUAUUUUGUUUGGAAUUUUACAAAACUAGGGAUUCAGGGAAAAAAAAAAGGAAACUACAAACAGUUGCCAAUCAGGGGAACUCCAAAAAGAGGGGGGGGAGGGGGGAAAUGUGGUGCAGAGGAAAGAUUCCUUUAAUGAAUAUUUGAUUAACAAAAAUGGGCUCUGAUCAGCCAUGCUUUUUCUGCUCCGUGAUGGCUUCCUUUCAUCCAUAGGCCAGCAAAACAGAUCAGUGAUUUCUGAGCACCUCUCAAUUUGGCUCCAUCCCCGGCCCUGCUCUGUGUUCCGUGGGUGACACCAGGCUCACCCUCCUGGGCCAUCAUCUACGUUUUAUUAAAGUACCACCGACACCAAACGGAAGCGAGAGCUACGGCAGGAGGAGAACCGUGGAAGUGUCAACACAUUCCUAAGCACAAAUACUUAGCUUAAGAAUAACAGCUGCAGUUAAUUCCAGGGAAAGCAGCUUGUUCUAUAAGCCACCCCUUAUUCAGCUUUUCUAAGGUUUCUCUCCCUCUAAGGGGGCUGUGGGGAGGAGGAACUUUACGCUGCUUUAAGCACCGCUCUUACAACACCCUCAACACAGAUACAGCUCCCCUUGCCUCAGCAGCAGCGUCUGUUAGAGAACAGGGGACAGAGGCAAAUCUUUGGAAGAGCAGGAACUAAAGCCAGCCUAUGGAAAAGCAAUGGGCGGGGGCUGAGGAGAGAGUGCAACCAACAAUGCUGCUUAUUUGUGGGGUGAUACCUUAAUAAAGAGCACUGGAACCCCGUGUUAGAGCCCGCAGCAGUCCACAAUCCAUGGAGACUCCAGUCGUGGAGCUGGGGCCUAUCCUGGAAUUUCAGACAGGUGCACACACUCCUCAUCAAAAAGAGGACUCUGGGUUUGAGCACCAACUCGUAAAAAAGUACUGGCCUAUGGCUGAAGUGUGUCACUUUUCACAGCAGCACUCAACAAGAACUGGGACAAUUAAAUAGCAAGUUUUCAUGGGGACCUUGUUGCUGCUUUAGAUUCUUAGAAAUGUAAGGGGGAAAGGAGAACCUUUGGUUUAAUAUACAAUUGACAAAUAAAAUGCUUUCUGUAGAAAUGGUGGAUGGAAAAUCAAGGGUGGGCAGACAAUCUUAAAAGUGAAGAAGGCCACAAGAACAAGUGGAAUUUUUUUUCUUUUUUUUCUUUUCUUUUUUUUUUUUUUUUGUAAAAACAGAAAAGAAAGGAAAACAUGUAGUUUUUGAGCUCUAAAGAACCUGAUUGUAACAUUACUGUUGUCCUUUCUCUGGGCAAUACAGGUGUAAGGUGUAUCCCUGGAAUUGCAUCCUUCUGUGGGAACUUCCUUUAAUACUUGUUUAAUACUUGUUUCACAGAAUGCAGCCUUAUACAGAGACAGACUAAUUCCCUUUGUUUCAUUUGUUUUUCAGCAUUUUGUGUAUGAGUGAAAAGUCUUCUUGGAUAAUUAAGACUGUGUCUAAAAUCACAGUAUGCUGAUCUAUAAGGAAACUCAGAGAGAAGAUUUAAAAGGAUUUGGAAUGGAAGAUCACUAGACUCUCAUAUUCAGCAGCAAAGCAAUCUUCACUUGCCAAUACUGCUGGGCUACAGCAAAUCCAGGACACCACACCAGCCAAGUGCUCCUCGUGUGGUCGUUCACUCCUCGCUCUCCCCAGCCCAGCACAAAGCAAGGCACAGACCCCAAAACGCUGGGGUCUGCUGUUGGCAUGGUGAGAGACACCAGGAACCCAAACUGAGCUGGAGGUGAGCCCAGAGAGGUGCAGACUGACCCUGUGCAUCCUCAGCAGCCAGAUGAUCCCAGCACUUCCCUCACCCAGCCAGGCUGUAAAUCCACAAACUGCCACCGUUCUGCUCUUUGCAUGUUGAUACUUUGACACACUGGUCACUCCUGGUGUAGGUACAUCACCCAGCCCAGGACAGAGCUGCAUGUUUUAGCAGACACUUCACCUGCAUGUUCACGGUGGUUUUUCACACACUGGGAAGCUUGUUAACCAGCCAGAGCCUUUCCCACUCCCCCUUUCCAGCCAUGGAUGUGCUCUUCAAAGAGCUCUAUUUACAUGCCAAGCUACAAAGCAACGUGGAAAAACUGCAGCUUUUAUGAUUCUACAGUGAGGUUUUUCACAACA
Molecule: long non-coding RNA, 2534 nt
Organism: Onychostruthus taczanowskii (white-rumped snowfinch)
Lineage: Eukaryota; Metazoa; Chordata; Aves; Passeriformes; Passeridae
Exons: 3
Source: RefSeq, a predicted model, not a curated record